UGCCAGACUCCGGGAGGCAGCAGUGGGGAAUAUUGCACAAUGGGGGAAACCCUGAUGCAGCGACGCCGCGUGAGUGAAGAAGUAUUUCGGUAUGUAAAGCUCUAUCAGCAGGGAAGAUAAUGACGGUACCUGACUAAGAAGCCCCGGCUAGCUACGUGCCAGCAGCCGCGGUAAUACGUAGGGGGCAAGCGUUAUCCGGAUUUACUGGGUGUAAAGGGAGCGUAGACGGCAGCACAAGUCUGGAGUGAAAUGCCGGGGCUUAACCCCGGAACUGCUUUGGAAACUGUGCAGCUAGAGUGCAGGAGAGGUAAGUGGAAUUCCUAGUGUAGCGGUGAAAUGCGUAGAUAUUAGGAGGAACACCAGUGGCGAAGGCGGCUUACUGGACUGUAACUGACGUUGAGGCUCGAAAGCGUGGGGAGCAAACAGGAUUAGAUACCCCAGUA
Molecule: ribosomal RNA, 443 nt
Filed under: uncultured bacterium
Lineage: Bacteria
Description: bacterial SSU rRNA
Rfam family: Bacterial small subunit ribosomal RNA
Source: RNAcentral